RNAcentral lists this ribosomal RNA (691 nucleotides) under Jiulongibacter sediminis. RNAcentral's name for it is "bacterial SSU rRNA". It matches the Rfam family "Bacterial small subunit ribosomal RNA", at positions 89 to 779 of the family's 1533-position model. The record is from RNAcentral. Lineage: Bacteria; Pseudomonadati; Bacteroidota; Cytophagia; Cytophagales; Leadbetterellaceae.
UUGAGACCGGCGAACGGGUGCGUAACGCGUAUGCAACCUACCUUUAUCAGGGGGAUAGCCCAGAGAAAUUUGGAUUAAUACCGCAUAAUAUAUUUGCUGGCAUCGGUGAAUAUUGAAAGAUUUAUUGGAUAGAGAUGGGCAUGCGUAGGAUUAGCUAGUUGGUGAGGUAACGGCUCACCAAGGCGACGAUCCUUAGGGGCUCUGAGAGGAGUAACCCCCACACUGGUACUGAGAUACGGACCAGACUCCUACGGGAGGCAGCAGUAGGGAAUAUUGGACAAUGGGCGGAAGCCUGAUCCAGCCAUGCCGCGUGCAGGAAGACGGCCCUCUGGGUUGUAAACUGCUUUUAUAUGGGAAGAAAAUGGCUUUGCGAAGCAAAUUGACGGUACCAUAGGAAUAAGCCACGGCUAACUACGUGCCAGCAGCCGCGGUAAUACGUAGGUGGCGAGCGUUAUCCGGAUUUAUUGGGUUUAAAGGGUGCGUAGGCGGCUUUUUAAGUCGGUGGUUAAAGGUAGCAGCUUAACUGUUUUACAUGCCAUCGAUACUGAAGAGCUUGAGUUAUCAGAAGGCAGGCGGAAUUUCUGGUGUAGCGGUGAAAUGCAUAGAUACCAGAAGGAACUCCUAUUGCGAAGGCAGCUUGCUGCAGAUAAACUGACGCUGAUGCACGAAAGCGUGGGGAGCGAACAGGAUU